This 96-nucleotide Y RNA is filed under the name Propithecus coquereli (Coquerel's sifaka). RNAcentral's name for it is "Y RNA (ENSPCOG00000004425.1)". It matches the Rfam family "Y RNA". From Rfam's summary of the family: Y RNAs are components of the Ro ribonucleoprotein particle (Ro RNP), in association with Ro60 and La proteins. Lineage: Eukaryota; Metazoa; Chordata; Mammalia; Primates; Indriidae. The record is from Rfam by way of RNAcentral.
UUCUGGUCCGAUGGUAGUUGGUUAUCAGAACUUAUUAACAUUAGUGUCACUAAAGUUGGUAUUCAACCCCCCACUGCUAAAUUUGACUGGCUUUUA